Molecule: ribosomal RNA, 468 nt
Filed under: uncultured bacterium
Lineage: Bacteria
Description: bacterial SSU rRNA
Rfam family: Bacterial small subunit ribosomal RNA
Source: RNAcentral
ACAAACGCUGGCGGCGUGCCUAACACAUGCAAGGUCGAACGGACCCUUCGGGGUAGUGGCAGACGGGUGAGUAACACGUAGGUAAUGUACCUUCUUGCUGGGGAUACCUACCCGAAAGGGUGGUUAAUACCGAAUGGUCUCGCGCUGCGGCAUCGCGGUGCGAGUAAAGUGAUUUAGCGCGAGGGGAUCAGCCUGCGGGCCAUCAGCUGGUUGGUGGGGUAACGGCCUACCAAGGCAUCGACGGUUAGCCGGUCUGAGAGGAUCGAUCGGCCACACUGGAACUGAGAGACGGUCCAGACUCCUACGGGAGGCAGCAGUGAGGAAUAUUGCGCAAUGGGCGGAAGCCUGAACCGCAGCGACGCCGCGUGAGGGAUGAAGGUUUUCGGAUCGUAAACCUCUGUUAAGCAGGGAAGAGUAACGGACGGUACCUGCUGAGGAAGCAUCGGCUUACUACGUGCCAGCCGCGGC